Molecule: long non-coding RNA, 2780 nt
Organism: Carassius carassius (crucian carp)
Lineage: Eukaryota; Metazoa; Chordata; Actinopteri; Cypriniformes; Cyprinidae
Exons: 2
Source: RefSeq, a predicted model, not a curated record
CAGAGUGUCAGCUUAUUUGGACAAUCUCCUUCUCUCUGCUCCGUCAUGGAGGCAGACGGAGAUAGAUACGAAUCGGCUUGUGUUUCAUUUAAAAGCCUUAGGCUUUAAAAUAAAUGACACAAAAAGCUGCUUAGUGCCCACGCAGGAAAUAAUUUAUCUGGGUCUCAGGCUGAACUCAGACAUGUACCAGGCAUUCUUAUCAGAGGAGUGCAUUGUCAAUUCGUGGUUGUCUCUCCCUUUUCCAGAAAGGGAAAAAAAGUCCCAUUCAGAGCAUGUUUACAUCUUCAAGGCCUGAUGGCCUCGGCCGUGUUGGUCAUCCCAUUGGGACUGUUACGGAUGAGAGAGUUUCAGUGCUGGGUAGCGGAACAGCGUUUAUGUCCGAAGCGCCACCUCUACUGCAAAGUGAUAACGUUGUCACAUUGCUUGCGCGCUCUCUGCUGCUGCAGCGAUCACAUUUUUCUGGAAUCAGGGACUCCACUGGAAACUAUUUCUCUGAGAAAGGUGGUAACGACGGAUGUGUCAAUCAUGGGUUGGGGUGCAGCGUGCGAGGGCAGAAUAGCGAAAGGAAAAUGGCCCAUCUCGCUACAAAACGCACAUAUAAACUUCCUGGAACUGUUAACAGUGUCUAGCAUUGAAACAUUUCAUGCGGUUCCUACGGAAUCACCAUGUUUUGGUCAGAUCGGACAACACAACGGUAGUGGCAUAUAUAAAUCGCCAUUGGGAACACAUUCUCCCCAGCUUCACAGUCUAGCACGACAACUCAUUGUGUGGGGCUUGAAGCAUUUUCAUUCAUUACAAGUGACUCAUGUCCCAGGAAUAAUAAAUGUGGGGGCAGAUCUCCUGUCCAGGGGCCAUCCUUGGUAUGGAGAAUAGACUCUCCACCCCCAGGUAGUGAACCAGUUGUGGAAGAGGUUCGGCCUAGCUGCCGCAGAUCUUUUCACCUCGCACGAAAAUACCCAUUGCACCCUAUUCUUUUCUCUGGCGAGAGACUGUGCUCCGAAGGGUGUGGAUGCUUUGGCUCACCUGUGGCCAAAUGUACUGCUUUACGCAUUUCCUCUGCUGAGUCUGAUCAUACCAACUCUAAAAAGAGUAAGAGAGUGUGGUCACUCAUUAAUUUUGAUCACGCCAAACUGGUCAGGGAAGUUGUGGCUGACGGAGAUAAUCCAGCUUCUGCACGAUUGGCCCUGGCCCUCUCCCAAUGUGCAGAGACCUCCUCUCACAAGCUCGCUGAGAGAUUUUUCAUCCGGCCCCAGACAAAGUGGAUCUGGAUAUGAUAGAAAAUGGAACGUAUUUGAAUUGUGGUGCGCUCAAAGGCAAACUGUACCUUUUCAAUAUUCAGUGGCAGAGGUGUUGUGUUUACCGCAAGAACUUUUAGAUCAGGGUAGAGCCUUCUCUACCGUUAAGGUUUAUCUUGCUGCAAUUUCUGCUUGCCAUGUGGGGAUUGACAGGAAUAAUAUAGGCCAACACCCACUUGUGUGCAGGUUUAUGAGGGGUGCGCGGCGUGUGAACAGGUUUUCAAAGCUUCUGAUUCUGCCGUGGCUUCUGUCCAUGGUCCUUAACGCACUCUGUCAGUCGCCUUUUGAGCCGGUAGAUAAUAUAGAUUUUUAUUUUGAGCUGACAGAUAAGCUCCUUUCGAUAAAGGUUGCUUUGUUAUUGGCUCUGACGACCGCGAAACGAGUUAAUGAACUUCAUGCUUUGCCGGUUCAUAACUCUUGUAUGGCAUUUGCUGCAGAUUUCUCGCGAGUAUCUCUCAAGACUAACCCAGCGUUUGUGCCUAAGGUGAGCGAGUCAACUUUCGUCUGUAGACAGGUGGAUUUACUGGCUUUUCAUUGCCCCCCUUUUUCCUCGUUGGAAGAGGAGUAGUUUUAUUGUUUGUGCCCUGUCCAUGCGGUGCAGAAGUUUGAAAAGACAAUAGAAUGUUGUUUGCUCCAUUCGAGCAUUGUUUGUUAUGUGUAGCGCUCAACCACAGUGUCAGACCCUAAGUGUUUGCUAGUUCAUACAAGUUAAAUGGAGGUGAAAAGGACAAGGUUUUUUUUUCUUUUUUUGUACUUAGGUUGUUGUUUAUACCUUUGCAAUAUGUUUGAGUACAACUUACCAACCAGGCAGGCAUUAAAGUACCUUUUUUGCAACCAUUGUAUGUUUUGUUACUGCAUAUGUACACUAUUUAAAAUGUAAUUUUUAUCUUUAUGUUAUUCUAAAAUGUUGUUCUGUCUUUGUCUAGGUACAGCACCAGAGUCCUAUUUGGUGGAAAGAGCCACAACAUAGUGAUGCCAAUUUGAUGGACAUUAGUGGCACUGUAUGCAGUGCCUUCAUUUCCACGUCUUGCAGUACCCCCCUAUGUCUCUGUACCACCUGUAAUGUCCUUGUUCUCUUUUAGUUGCAAAGAGACGAAUGGUUGAUGCUAGUGUCGUAAGUCUGGUGAAAGAGAUGAUGGAGAAAGAGGAAGUGGACUGCAGACAAUGUCAAUAAGGCAUUGCAUUUGCUCCUGACUUUUUAAUGGAGCUGGCACAGAGAGAAGCUGAGGAGCAUGAACGGCUGCUUUAACAGGAGGCAGAAGCAUGGCGUCAGCAGGCUGUUUUUAUGUAAGGCCUUCUGGCCACUACGAAAAAGCUGGUGGCAGGUGCACAGCACCCACGUGAACCUACUCUCGACUAGCCCUAUAAAUGUUUAAUUUUUUUUUAUUUUAAUUACAUUUUCUUGUUUGUACAUUUACAUUUGUUUUUUUUCUGUUUUUAUGUAUUUGUUAGUUUAUAUAUUUAAAAAGAGACACUAUUUAUAUU